This is a long non-coding RNA of Arachis ipaensis, 861 nucleotides long. RefSeq lists it as uncharacterized. The record is from RefSeq and is a predicted model, not a curated record. Lineage: Eukaryota; Viridiplantae; Streptophyta; Magnoliopsida; Fabales; Fabaceae.
ACGAAUGUUGAAGGAAACAAGUUGGACGCGUACUCUAAGUGCCAUCUAAGCUAAGGUGGCUUCAUUGGGUCACGGGAUUAACAAUCCAAUCCCACCUUUUGUUUUCAAUGUGAACCAACUCAAACUUCUCUGUUUUAUUUGAAAAUUGAUAUAUAUUUGGAAGCAUAUUAAUUCUUGUGUGAAUAUAAAAAUAUCAACUAUCUUUAUAUAUAUAUAUAUCCACUAAAAUUUAGAUCUCCUGUUUUUUCACGUCAUUCUUGAAUGUGUUUUUUUAUACAUUUGUUUAACUAAACACCUAAACCUUUAAACAAUAAUGGUUGUGUGUAUACAUCAUUGUUUUAUUGCAUAACUGCACCAUGUCGCUGUAUUGUUGGCUAAUAAUAAUAAUAAUAAUAAUAAUAAUAAUAAUAAUGUUAUUGGUCCUUCUUUUUCUUUUUCAUCUUGUUGUAGACAAGGUGUUUGAUAAAAUGUUGAAGUUAUGGAUAAGAGUAUCUAAAACUGGUGGAACUGUUUGUGGACUCUUUGGUUCAUUUGUUUUUAUGAAUUCUACAUUUUUAGCUCAGCUGUUGUUAGAGAUUUAUGAGCGAAAUUCUGUACCAAAAGCCUAAGAAGAUUGUUAAUGUCAUCAAUAAAGUCAAUGAGAAGAGAAUAAUUUCUGGUGAUAAAGGAAACAAUGCUGCUUUUACCAAUGGUGAUGAUCUUUCUCCUAUUGUUCUUCUUCAUGGGAUUUUUGGAUUUGGCAAAGGGGCACAAGAAUUAUUCUAUUAUUUGAAGGGUGGCCAAGUUGAUUAUGGAGAAGAGCACAGCAAGGCUUGUGGACACUCACAAUUUGAAAGAAUCUAUUAACAAGGUUUGAGGGAU